Molecule: unclassified non-coding RNA, 520 nt
Filed under: uncultured Glomus
Lineage: Eukaryota; Fungi; Glomeromycota; Glomeromycetes; Glomerales; Glomeraceae
Description: SSU rRNA
Rfam family: Eukaryotic small subunit ribosomal RNA
Source: RNAcentral
AGCAGCCGCGGUAAUUCCAGCUCCAAUAGCGUAUAUUAAAGUUGUUGCAGUUAAAAAGCUCGUAGUUGAAUUUCGGGAUCAAGUCGUCGGUCGUGCUCAGGUACGUACUGGCGUCAUUGAUUUCUCCCUUCUGACGAACCAUGAUGUCAUUAAUUUGGUGUCAUGGGAAAUCAGGACUGUUACUUUGAAAAAAUUAGAGUGUUUAAAGCAGGCUCACGCUUGAAUACAUUAGCAUGGAAUAAUGAAAUAGGACGUUCGAUCCUAUUUUGUUGGUUUUUAGGAUCAACGUAAUGAUUAAUAGGGAUAGUUGGGGGCAUUAGUAUUCAAUUGUCAGAGGUGAAAUUCUUGGAUUUAUUGAAGACUAACUACUGCGAAAGCAUUUGCCAAGGAUGUUUUCAUUAAUCAAGAACGAAAGUUUAGGGGAUCGAAGACGAUCAGAUACCGUCGUAGUCUUAACCAUAAACUAUGCCGACUAGGGAUCGGAUGAUGUUAAUUUUUUAAUGACUCAUUCGGCGCCUUA